CCUACGGGGGGCUGCAGUGAGGAAUAUUGGUCAAUGGACGAGAGUCUGAACCAGCCAAGUAGCGUGAAGGAUGACUGCCCUAUGGGUUGUAAACUUCUUUUAUAAAGGAAUAAAACGAGGCACGUGUGCCUUUUUGCAUGUACUUUAUGAAUAAGGAUCGGCUAACUCCGUGCCAGCAGCCGCGGUAAUACGGAGGAUCCGAGCGUUAUCCGGAUUUAUUGGGUUUAAAGGGAGCGUAGAUGGGUUGUUAAGUCAGUUGUGAAAGUUUGCGGCUCAACCGUAAAAUUGCAAUUGAAACUGGCAGUCGUGAGUACAGUUGAGGUAGGCGGAAUUCGUGGUGUAGCGGUGAAAUGCUUAGAUAUCACGAAGAACCCCGAUUGCGAAGGCAGCUUACUAAACUGUGACUGACAUUGAUGCUCGAAAGUGUGGGUAUCAAACAGGAUUAGAUACCCUUGUAGUC
Molecule: ribosomal RNA, 460 nt
Filed under: uncultured bacterium
Lineage: Bacteria
Description: partial 16S ribosomal RNA
Rfam family: Bacterial small subunit ribosomal RNA
Source: RNAcentral